Molecule: transfer RNA, 93 nt
Filed under: Athelia sp. TMB
Lineage: Eukaryota; Fungi; Basidiomycota; Agaricomycetes; Atheliales; Atheliaceae
Description: tRNA-Arg
Source: RNAcentral
GACCCGAUGGUGCAGUGGCAAGCGCGUCCAUCUCCGGGGGCCUCACCAGCCCUCUAUAACUGGAAGAGUCCUGUUCGAUUCAGGAUCGGGUCG